This 119-nucleotide ribosomal RNA is filed under the name Pteropus alecto (black flying fox). The record is from RNAcentral. Lineage: Eukaryota; Metazoa; Chordata; Mammalia; Chiroptera; Pteropodidae.
AUCUACGGCUAUGUCACCCUAAACAACUUUGAUUCGAUCUGAUAUCGGAAGUUAAGCAGGAUCAAGCCUGGUUAGUACUUAGAUGGGAGACCACCUAGGAAGACCAGGUACUGUAGGAG